This 1796-nucleotide ribosomal RNA is filed under the name Sminthuridae environmental sample. RNAcentral's name for it is "SSU rRNA". It matches the Rfam family "Eukaryotic small subunit ribosomal RNA". The record is from RNAcentral. Lineage: Eukaryota; Metazoa; Arthropoda; Collembola; Symphypleona; Sminthuridae.
CUGGUUGAUCCUGCCAGUAGUCAUAUGCUUGUCUCAAAGAUUAAGCCAUGCAUGUCUAAGUUCAAGCGAAAAUAAAGUGAAACCGCGAAUGGCUCAUUACAUCAGUUAUGGUUCCUUAGAUCGCACUUACUACUUGGAUAACUGUGGUAAUUCUAGAGCUAAUACAUGCACUGAGCUCCAACCCUCGUGGAAGGAGCGCUUUUAUUAGAUCAAAGCCAAUCGGGCCUUCGGGUCCGUACCGUUGGUGACUCUGAAUAACUUUGCUGAUCGCAUGGUCUCGUACCGGCGACGUAUCUUUCAAGUGUCUGCCUUAUCAACUGUCGAUGGUAGGUUAUGCGCCUACCAUGGUUGUAACGGGUAACGGGGAAUCAGGGUUCGAUUCCGGAGAGGGAGCCUGAGAAACGGCUACCACAUCCAAGGAAGGCAGCAGGCGCGCAAAUUACCCACUCCCGGCACGGGGAGGUAGUGACGAAAAAUAACGAUACGGAACUCACAUGAGGCUCCGUAAUCGGAAUGAGUACACUUUAAAUCCUUUAACGAGGAUCUAUUGGAGGGCAAGUCUGGUGCCAGCAGCCGCGGUAAUUCCAGCUCCAAUAGCGUAUAUUAAAGUUGUUGCGGUUAAAAAGCUCGUAGUUGGAUCUCGGUUUCGGGCGGGUGGUGCGCCUUGCGGUGUUUACUGUCUGCCCGGACGAUUUUGUUGGUUCGUUCGUGGUUCUCUUAACCGAGUGCCACGGGUGGCCAGCACGUUUACUUUGAAAAAAUUGGAGUGCUCAAAGCAGGCGCUACAGCCUGAACAUUAGUGCAUGGAAUAAUGGAAUAGGACCUCGGUUCUAUUUCGUUGGCUUUCGGAGUCGAGGUAAUGAUUAAUAGGAACAGACGGGGGCAUUCGUACUGCGACGUUAGAGGUGAAAUUCUUGGAUCGUCGCAAGACGAACUACUGCGAAAGCAUUUGCCAAGAAUGUUUUCAUUAAUCAAGAACGAAAGUUAGAGGUUCGAAGGCGAUCAGAUACCGCCCUAGUUCUAACCAUAAACGAUGCCGACCGGCGAUCCGCCGUCGUUAAUUGAAUGACUCGGCGGGCAGCCUCCGGGAAACCAGAGUGUUUGGGUUCCGGGGGAAGUAUGGUUGCAAAGCUGAAACUUAAAGGAAUUGACGGAAGGGCACCACCAGGAGUGGAGCCUGCGGCUUAAUUUGACUCAACACGGGAAAUCUCACCAGGCCCGGACACCGGAAGGAUUGACAGAUUGAGAGCUCUUUCUUGAUUCGGUGGGUGGUGGUGCAUGGCCGUUCUUAGUUGGUGGAGCGAUUUGUCUGGUUAAUUCCGAUAACGAACGAGACUCUGGCCUACUAACUAGAUGUAGGGUCCCUUUGUGGGUCCGUCACUGCUUCUUAGAGGGACGGGCGGCUUUUAGCCGCACGAGAAUGAGCAAUAACAGGUCUGUGAUGCCCUUAGAUGUUCUGGGCUGCACGCGCGCUACACUGAAGGAAUCAGCGUGUGUUCCCUACCCGAAAGGGUUGGGAAACCCGUUGAACCUCCUUCGUGAUGGGGAUUGGGGAUUGCAAUUAUUCCCCAUGAACGAGGAAUUCCCAGUAGGCGCGAGUCAUAAGCUUGCGUCGAUUACGUCCCUGCCCUUUGUACACACCGCCCGUCGCUACUACCGAUCGAGUGAUUUAGUGAGGACUUCGGACUGGUCUUCGUGGUGGCUCUCGAGUCAUGACGGAGUUCCGGAAAGAUGCCCAAACUUGAUCACUUAGAGGAAGUAAAAGUCGUAACAAGGUUUCCGUAGGUGAACCUGCG